This 380-nucleotide long non-coding RNA is filed under the name Mytilus galloprovincialis (Mediterranean mussel). Lineage: Eukaryota; Metazoa; Mollusca; Bivalvia; Mytilida; Mytilidae. The record is from RNAcentral.
GCAGGCCUUUCUUUUUCUGUACACAUGGAUAAAUGUAGAUGAGAUCAGAAUUAGCAUAAAGUUUACAUUGUCAUGAUUGUCCAAUAAGCUAUGACUUCAUAUUUUGAAUAGGAAGCUUUGGUAUACAUUGCAAUAUCUCAUUACAUUGCUCCUUAAACACAGGUAGUAGGUGUUAAUUUGUUGUUACAUAUAUUGUUUGCAUUUACAUAUUCCACUUUUAGGACUAAUGUUCAGGAACUAUAGUAUAGACUUCUUAAUGGAUAAUAUUUAUACCAAAGAUGUUCAUAAACAUGCAAUGAAACCUUGACAGUGAAACUUGAAAAUAAAAAAAAAAAACUUUAGCUAAAACAUUCUUAGGUGACAAUUUAGGAAAAGUAAAG